RNAcentral lists this ribosomal RNA (433 nucleotides) under uncultured bacterium. Its description in RNAcentral is "partial 16S ribosomal RNA". It matches the Rfam family "Bacterial small subunit ribosomal RNA", at positions 29 to 507 of the family's 1533-position model. The record is from RNAcentral.
AACGAACGCUGGCGGCAUGCCUAACACAUGCAAGUCGAACGAGACCUUCGGGUCUAGUGGCGCACGGGUGCGUAACGCGUGGGAACCUGCCCUUAGGUUCGGAAUAACUCCCCGAAAGGGGUGCUAAUACCGGAUAAUGUCUUCGGACCAAAGAUUUAUCGCCUUUGGAUGGGCCCGCGUUGGAUUAGCUAGUUGGUAGGGUAAAAGCCUACCAAGGCGACGAUCCAUAGCUGGUCUGAGAGGAUGAUCAGCCACACUGGGACUGAGACACGGCCCAGACGCCUACGGGAAGCAGCAGGGGGGAAUAUUGGACAAUGGGCGAAAGCCGGAUCCAGCAAUGCCGCGAGAGUGAUGAAGGCAUGAGGGUAGUAAAGCUCUUUUACCCGGGAUGAUAAUGACAGGACCGAGAGAAUAAGCUCCGGCCAACUCCGUG